UCUGAUGCGUGGAAGACCGCUCCGGUCUCGUACCGGGGAGGAAAGUCCGAGCACCGCUGGAUCACGGUGGUGGGUAACGCCCACCGUCUGGGCGUGGCGACUCGUCGCGGCGUCUGACCGGGAAAGUGCCACAGAAAAUACACCGCCUUGGCCCGUCAAAAGGCGAAGGUAAGGGUGAAAAGGUGCGGUAAGAGCGCACCGCGAUCGCCGUGAGGCGGUCGGCAUGGUAAACCCCACCGGGUGCAAGGCCAAGCAGCGAUGACGGCCCGAUCCAGGCCGCUUGAAUCGCGGGUAGGCUGCUUUCCCUCACGGGAAGAGCCCGUCUGCAAAGGCGGGUCAAGACAAAUGGUUUUCGCCCCAUCGCGGUGUGCCCGCCGCGACGAGGAACAGAACUCGGCUUACAGCGCAUCAGGCAGG
RNAcentral lists this RNase P RNA (417 nucleotides) under Phycisphaerae bacterium. RNAcentral's name for it is "RNase P RNA component class A". It matches the Rfam family "Bacterial RNase P class A". From Rfam's summary of the family: Ribonuclease P (RNase P) is a ubiquitous endoribonuclease, found in archaea, bacteria and eukarya as well as chloroplasts and mitochondria. Its best characterised activity is the generation of mature 5'-ends of tRNAs by cleaving the 5'-leader elements of precursor-tRNAs. The record is from RNAcentral. Lineage: Bacteria; Pseudomonadati; Planctomycetota; Phycisphaerae.